Molecule: long non-coding RNA, 999 nt
Organism: Bombus huntii
Lineage: Eukaryota; Metazoa; Arthropoda; Insecta; Hymenoptera; Apidae
Exons: 3
Source: RefSeq, a predicted model, not a curated record
UAUAUAUAUAUAUAUAUAUAUAUACACAAUAUAUAUAUAUAUAUAUGUCGGAGAUGAAAGAACACCGGAGCCUUUGGAAUUUUGGAUAACCCCGCAACAUUGUAACCUAGAGUCUACUAUAGCUGUAACUGAACAAUUGUAGUUAUUCAACCCGAUUGUAAUUAUUCGAGAAUUGUGAUAAUGAGCUUGGGCUCGAGGCGACAGUCAGUCGCCGAACGUAGCCGCGGUCACGGGAUGAACGCUUUGCCUGACAGAGGUAUGAAGUAAUUCUAUAGCUCUCCUUAAAAGAAAUAUUUGUGGCGACACGCGACAGUAAACAUUCCAACGGUUUCUGUCCCGUGGCUCGCCACGUGCAGACCCUAUUCUUCGAGUAAGAUGAUUGCCAGAUGUCGAUGCGUCUCCGCAGUACAUGUUCGGCUAGCCCGAGGGCCCGUUAUAAAUCUUAAGGUUUAGUUAACUAAAGUCCUUCAAACAGACAAACAGUCUUUGUCCCAACUACGGGAAGAUAGGGGAGACAUAUUUUUCAACGAGCGGCGUCUCCCACUAGCAACUUUCCCUCGAGGGCGGCUAACAUCUUUUUCUAACCACCGAUAUAGAGAUUGACCAAUUAGCAGCAACGUCAAUUUCCCUUACUUCCUAAACGAAGGCUUUCCUCGACGAAUCCGAUGAUCUCGUGUCCUUAGACACACCCCAUUAUAGUUUUCCUCUGUGACAUCGUCGGGACGGGACGGGCAUUCUUUUACGCGCUCCCGUCGACCAAAGAGUAACGUCUUUACGCUCAGCAAUUAUUUUUACGAGUCAGACUUAGAUUCAGCGAGAACGCCCAUCUGUCAUCCCGUUGGCCGCGGAUUCGUUAUUGAACCGGAGACCACUGUCACUAGUGUCGCGGACGUCUCACCGCCGUGGUAGAUUGUCAAAACCUGUGUUAUUCAUACCUGUGUCAAUAAAUCGUAUCUUCGUUACACCGCAACGAUGGCUACCUUCAAUGAAGACUCCUCA